This 483-nucleotide ribosomal RNA is filed under the name uncultured bacterium. Its description in RNAcentral is "bacterial SSU rRNA". It matches the Rfam family "Bacterial small subunit ribosomal RNA", at positions 501 to 985 of the family's 1533-position model. The record is from RNAcentral.
CUACGUGCCAGCAGCCGCGGUAAUACGGAAGGUCCGGGCGUUAUCCGGAUUUAUUGGGUUUAAAGGGAGCGUAGGCCGGAGAUUAAGUGUGUUGUGAAAUGUAGACGCUCAACGUCUGACUUGCAGCGCAUACUGGUUUCCUUGAGUACGCACAACGUUGGCGGAAUUCGUCGUGUAGCGGUGAAAUGCUUAGAUAUGACGAAGAACUCCGAUUGCGAAGGCAGCUGACGGGAGCGCAACUGACGCUGAAGCUCGAAAGUGCGGGUAUCGAACAGGAUUAGAUACCCUGGUAGUCCGCACGGUAAACGAUGGAUGCCCGUUGUCAGGCUGUUUCAGCCUGGUGACCAAGCGAAAGCAUUAAGCAUCCCACCUGGGGAGUACGCCGGCAACGGUGAAACUCAAAGGAAUUGACGGGGGCCCGCACAAGCGGAGGAACAUGUGGUUUAAUUCGAUGAUACGCGAGGAACCUUACCCGGGCUUGAA